Molecule: ribosomal RNA, 468 nt
Filed under: uncultured bacterium
Lineage: Bacteria
Description: partial 16S ribosomal RNA
Rfam family: Bacterial small subunit ribosomal RNA
Source: RNAcentral
GACGAACGCUGGCGGCGUGCCUAACACAUGCAAGUCGAACGGAAAGGUCCUGCUUUUGUGGGGUGCUCGAGUGGCGAACGGGUGAGUAACACGUGAGUACCCUGCCCCUGACUUUGGGAUAACUUCAGGCAACUGGGGCUAAUACCGGAUAGGAGCUCUUGCUGCUUGGUGGGGGUUGGAAAGUUUCGGCGGUUGGGGAUGGACUCGCGGCUUAUCAGCUUGAUGGUGGGGUAGUGGCUUACCAAGGCUUUGACGCGUAGCCGACCUGGGAGGGGGACCGGCCACGUUAGAACUGGGAUACGGCACAGACUCCUACGGGAGGCAAGGGUGGAGAGUAUUACCCAGUGGACGGGGGCCUGGUGCGACGACGCCGCGUGCGGGAAAUCAUGCUUCGGGUUGUAAACCGCUUUCGCCUGUGACGAGGCGUGAGUGACGGUAAUGGGUAAAGAAGCACCGGCUAACUACGUG